This 320-nucleotide long non-coding RNA is filed under the name Phoenix dactylifera (date palm). RNAcentral describes it as "long non-coding RNA (PDAC_LNC019309)". The record is from RNAcentral. Lineage: Eukaryota; Viridiplantae; Streptophyta; Magnoliopsida; Arecales; Arecaceae.
GGAGUGCCAAUGGCAUCUCCGCCUCCCCCACCCAAAGGGUGUACCCUAAAUGGUAAGCCGCAAAGGCAGCCACCCAAUCGGCCGCCCCAUUGGCUUCUCUGAAUACAUGUUUGGCCUCGACGGCCACUCCAACCCCACACAUCCCAAUGUCCCGAAUCAAGGGGUGGUCUGUGCCCACACCCCUCAGCCCCUCCUGGAUCCACCUGAUGACUGUGGCCGAGUCGCCCUCCAAGACAACCGAGCCAGCCCGCAGUACCUGCCUCGCAUAUCGAAGACCCGCCCAAGCAGCUCGUAGCUCUGCCCCGGGGACCGAAAUGCCG